UGCAAAUCAGCGUUGAGAUUUAGGA
RNAcentral lists this non-coding RNA (25 nucleotides) under Mus musculus (house mouse). Lineage: Eukaryota; Metazoa; Chordata; Mammalia; Rodentia; Muridae. The record is from RNAcentral.